Molecule: non-coding RNA, 85 nt
Filed under: Citrobacter portucalensis
Lineage: Bacteria; Pseudomonadati; Pseudomonadota; Gammaproteobacteria; Enterobacterales; Enterobacteriaceae
Source: RNAcentral
UUAUGGUGAGUUGGAUGGGGGCGGAGCAAUCCGCGCCGGUUACCUUGUACGCCGGUUACGCCAACCCUGUUCAGCUCACCACCCU